GGUGAACGCUGGCGGCGUGCUUAAGACAUGCAAGUCGAACGCAGUCUUCGGACUGAGUGGCGCACGGGUGAGUAACACGUAACUGACCUACCCCCAAGUCGCGGAUAACUGGCCGAAAGGUCCGCUAAUACGUGAUGUGAUGUCCCCUUUCUGGGGGGCCAUUCAAGGUUUACUGCUUGGGGAUUGGGUUGCGUUCCAUCAGCUAGUUGGCGGGGUAAAGGCCCACCAAGGCAACGACGGAUAGCCGGCCUGAGAGGGUGGCCUGCCACAGGGGCACUGAGACACGGGUCCCACUCCUACGGGAGGCAGCAGUUAGGAAUCUUCCACAAGGGGCGAAAGCCUGAUGGAGCGACGCCGCGUGAGGGAUGAAGGUUCUCGGAUCGUAAACCUCUGAAUCAGGGACGAAAGACGCGUAAGCGGGAUGACGGUACCUGAGUAAUAGCACCGGCUAACUCCGUGCCAGCCGCCGCCGUAA
RNAcentral lists this ribosomal RNA (475 nucleotides) under uncultured bacterium. RNAcentral's name for it is "partial 16S ribosomal RNA". It matches the Rfam family "Bacterial small subunit ribosomal RNA", at positions 28 to 523 of the family's 1533-position model. The record is from RNAcentral.